UCUUUGAAACUUAACUUAAGCUUUGAAACUUAAGCUUUGAAACUUAAGCGUAACGCAGGUGUCCUAAGGCGAGCUCAGGGAGGACGGAAACCUCCCGCGGAGCAGAAGGGCAAAAGCUCGCUUGAUCUUGAUUUUCAGUACGAAUACAGACUGUGAAAGCGGGGCCUCACGAUCCUUCUGGCUUUCUGGCUUUUAAGCAGGAGGUGUCAGAAAAGUUACCACAGGGAUAACUGGCUUGCGACGGCCAAGCAUACAUAGCGACGUCGGUUUUUGAUCCUUUGAUGUCGGCAGAAUUCACCAAGCGUUGGAUUGUUCACCCACUAAUAGGGAACGUGAGCUGGGUUUAGACCGUCGUGAGACAGGUUA
This 366-nucleotide non-coding RNA is filed under the name Apaloderma vittatum (bar-tailed trogon). Its description in RNAcentral is "Eukaryotic large subunit ribosomal RNA". It matches the Rfam family "Eukaryotic large subunit ribosomal RNA", at positions 2638 to 2985 of the family's 3401-position model. Lineage: Eukaryota; Metazoa; Chordata; Aves; Trogoniformes; Trogonidae. The record is from Rfam by way of RNAcentral.